CGAGCGGCUCCGGUAACCGCUGCGGCGCCGGCGAGUCCGGCGGCCGGAGAGGAAAGUCCGGGCUCCACAGGGCAGGAUGCCGGGUAACGCCCGGUCGGCGCAAGCCGAAGGAAAGCGCCACAGAAAACAGACGGCCUUCCGAAAGGGAGGCAACGGUGAAAAGGCAGGGUAAGAGCCUACCGGAUACGGUGUAAACCGUAUGCCUGGCAAGCCCCAUCCGGAGCAAGACCGAAUAGAAGGGGAAGAAGCGGCCCGCUGACCCUUGGGUCGGUCGCAGGAGGAACGCCGCGAGGCGUUUCCCAGAUAAAUGGUUACCCACGACAGAACCCGGCUUACGAGCCGCUCGCCUG
This 350-nucleotide RNase P RNA is filed under the name Synergistaceae bacterium. RNAcentral describes it as "RNase P RNA component class A". It matches the Rfam family "Bacterial RNase P class A". Rfam says of the family: Ribonuclease P (RNase P) is a ubiquitous endoribonuclease, found in archaea, bacteria and eukarya as well as chloroplasts and mitochondria. Its best characterised activity is the generation of mature 5'-ends of tRNAs by cleaving the 5'-leader elements of precursor-tRNAs. Lineage: Bacteria; Thermotogati; Synergistota; Synergistia; Synergistales; Synergistaceae. The record is from RNAcentral.